CCAAAAAUGGUUUACCCUUUAAAGACUAUUUGUUGAUGUACUCCUUUUACUUAAUGUACCCUAUCAUGGCUUUUAUAACCCCUGCCAGUUAGAAAAUUUUGCCACUCUAAGAAAUUAGGAGCAUGGUACCAUUUCAGUAACGACUAAUAAAGUGCCAGCAGUCGCGGUCAUACUUUAGUUACGAGUAAAAGUAAUAAGCAGAUUAUAAGUGCAAUAUAGAUCUUUGUAGUGAAAUAUAAAUAUAUAAACUCCUAACACACUUACAUACACACAACGGCUGAGCUCAAACAGGGAUUAGAUACCCCUUUAUGCAGCAAGUAUCCUAUUCUGCUGGGGACUACACUAGACAUUCAAACCCAACCAACAUGGCGGUAACUUAAACAUUCAGGGGAACUUACGGAAUAAUUGAUAACCACCAAGAACACAUACGUCUGAUUAAAUCUUACAUACCGUCGUCGGCAGAUAUACUAUAAUAGUAUAUCAUUUUGUGUUACAAGAAGACAGAUCAAGGUGUAGACUAUACAGCCGCUCACGCGA
This 537-nucleotide ribosomal RNA is filed under the name Codringtonia parnassia. RNAcentral describes it as "partial small subunit ribosomal RNA". Lineage: Eukaryota; Metazoa; Mollusca; Gastropoda; Stylommatophora; Helicidae. The record is from RNAcentral.